AGCUCCAAUAGCGUAUAUUAAAGUUGUUGCAGUUAAAAAGCUCGUAGUUGAACUUCAGCCCUGGCCGGGCGGUCUGCCUCACGGUAUGUACUGUCUGGCUGGGGCUUACCUUCUGGUGAGCUCUCAUGCCGUUUAUUCGGUGUGGGAGGGAACCAGGACAUUUACUUUGAGAAAAUUAGAGUGUUCAAAGCAGGCAAAUGCCCGAAUACAUUAGCAUGGAAUAAUGGAAUAGGACGUGCGGUUCUAUUUUGUUGGUUUCUAGAGUCGCCGUAAUGAUUAAUAGGGACAGUUGGGGGCAUUAGUAUUGAGUUGCUAGAGGUGAAAUUCUUGGAUUUACUCAAGACUAACUACUGCGAAAGCAUUUGCCAAGGAUGUUUUCA
Molecule: ribosomal RNA, 380 nt
Filed under: uncultured eukaryote
Lineage: Eukaryota
Description: SSU rRNA
Rfam family: Eukaryotic small subunit ribosomal RNA
Source: RNAcentral